This 1100-nucleotide unclassified non-coding RNA is filed under the name Hevea brasiliensis (rubber tree). Lineage: Eukaryota; Viridiplantae; Streptophyta; Magnoliopsida; Malpighiales; Euphorbiaceae. The record is from RNAcentral.
CUCAAAAAGUUCAAAGCCAAUAACAGCAGGUAAGCAUUCCAAUGAAAUUUCACAUUGCAGACGUUAGCAUAAAACAUUUCACACUUUUUUUUGCAAUAAGAAGCAAAUCAUGGACUUGAGGAAGUCCAAAAAGAAAAAAAUAUUGUGAUUUAAAAAUGUUCAUUGUGUCCAUGAAAGUCAUGAUGGAAAAUGCUCCAUACAAACUAAAAACAUUAAAGCCUCUAGAGUACAUGCCUAUAAGUUCAGAGACGUCUUUAAAUUCAAAACAAGAUCAGUAGUCUUCUUUCCCAGGAGCAAUUUCAAGCUUAAGUUGUAGGUGUCUAGGCCUCUGCAAUGAACUUUCUUCUCUGCAAAUGUUGAAUCUUAUUCAACAACUUCAAGCAAUUCCAAAAAUCAGCAGGCAUCAAACGUCUUUUAAGACGAGUUGGGAAAGGAUCACCUGGAAGCGUUAUAAAAUUAGAGAAAUUAGUUCUUUCAAAGUUCCUUCUUUUUUCCACUGUAAAAGUGCAUCUAUGGUCAUAAAUAUUCAGUAAUUUCAAUUUAACACAACUAUGAUGAUAGAAGCAUGGCAUGCUUUUCAUGUUCACUUGGCUUCCAUGAUCACAUUGUCCAUAUCCAGAGUACAGACAACACCAUCAACGAAAUUCAAUUCAUCCAGAAUCAAAACAAAAUUAUUUAACAUUUCCAAGUUCCCAUUAGGUACCACUCUGUAAACCACAUAUCAGAAAACUUUAAAACAAAUGAAGAGAAUAAUUUUUCUAGGAAGGAAGGAAGAAUUUAAACCAAAUGAGAAAUUACAAUAUUUGGCUGGUUAAAUGCAUGUUCGUUUUAAGUAAUGCAAGGAAAAGAAUUGUCAAAAGAAGACUAUCUCAAGCUAGAGAGGGGCUUUUACAAGCAAACGCACUGAAUCCUGCCAUUUGAAGACUGAAGUUUUGUGUAGAAAUAUGCUAAUACUUUAUAAACUUUGGUUAGUCAAAAGUAUCAUUAUUUUCUAAAUGUAGUCUGUCUGCACAGAUGCAUAUUCUUAUUCCAAGCAAGCUUAUAGAGGAUCAAGAGAAAUGAAAACGCAUCAAACUACUGCUUUAAUAAACGGAAGUACA